Molecule: long non-coding RNA, 241 nt
Organism: Melanotaenia boesemani (Boeseman's rainbowfish)
Lineage: Eukaryota; Metazoa; Chordata; Actinopteri; Atheriniformes; Melanotaeniidae
Exons: 3
Source: RefSeq, a predicted model, not a curated record
CACUGGUGAUACACAAACACAGUUUGACAAUAUAGGAUCACCAUGUAGACACUUUAAUAUGAAGAUUUACUUAAUAUUUUAUAUAGACCUUGCUGAUGAUGUCUGGUGAUUACAAGGUGAUAUAUUUUAUGUGGUCGUCAACAUUCAGGAGGCUUACUUACAUUUCUAUAUUAUGUAGGUUAUGAAAGCUUUCUGAUUCUGUCAUGUACUCCUGUGGAAAAAUAAAAUAAGAUGUGUACAA